CCUACGGGUGGCAGCAGUGAGGAAUAUUGGUCAAUGGGCGGGAGCCUGAACCAGCCAAGCCGCGUGAGGGAAGAAGGUACAGCGUAUCGUAAACCUCUUUUGCCAGGGAACAAAGGCGGGGACUAGUCCCCGGAUGAGGGUACCUGAAGAAAAAGCAGCGGCCAACUCCGUGCCAGAGGCCGCGGUAAUACGGGGGAUUAGAGCGUUAUCCGGACUUAUUGGGUUUAAGGGGUGCGCAGGCGGCCGGUUAAGUAAGCGGUAAACGCCCGGGGUUCAACCCCGGAGAGCCGUUGAAACUGGGGGGCUGGAGUUGGAGAGAAGUACGCGGAAUGCGCGGUGUAGCGGUGAAAUGCGUAGAUAUCACGCAGAACCCCGGUUGCGAAGGCAGCGUACCGGCUCCACACUGACGCUGAGGCACGAAAGCGUGGGUAUCGAACAGGAUUAGAUACCCGUGUAGUC
This 459-nucleotide ribosomal RNA is filed under the name uncultured bacterium. RNAcentral describes it as "partial 16S ribosomal RNA". It matches the Rfam family "Bacterial small subunit ribosomal RNA", at positions 338 to 795 of the family's 1533-position model. The record is from RNAcentral.